AGCAUCUCUAGGCGAUCAUAAAUAAAGAAAAAUAAAAUGGGAGCAGAGCAAAAGAAGAGGCGCUCAGUAGGAAACUUCAACGCUAUAGUUUAUAUGCCUUUCCAGUAUCUCUUGCUUCCAACGUUUACUCUGGCAACUGACCUUGUUCAGGUAGGUCAGACUGGAACAGAUUGAGAUUACAGUCCUAAAACAAAAUCACUGUCAUUCAAGGGCUUAUUUUCCUGGGAGAAGAAAAUAUUAUGAGGGUGACUUAGAUCCCUAAGAAUAAUAUCAGGAAGGCUAAAACCCUGAAUCAACAGGGGAUGGCAGAAAUGGAAAGGAAAUCUAAAGUGUUUAUAUAGCUAUGUUUGGAGCAAGAAGAAAAAAGGAAAAGCUAGGACUGCCUUCUGCUUGGGUGCUGAUGGUAUAAUGUUAAUAGAUGACAGAAAUGAAAAAGCAGAGUGAAAUCCGUAUUUUAUUUCCUUUAUCUUCUUUCGAGCAGAACAAAGCUAGUUAAAAGUGAAUUAUAGUCCAAAAUAGUCCAUGAAAUAAUCUACAAGCCCAAAUGUGCUGUCCCAAAGUGGAAUGGGAGACUUUGAGAAGUGAUGGACAUUCUUCCCUUACUUUCCAGU
RNAcentral lists this long non-coding RNA (611 nucleotides) under Monodelphis domestica (gray short-tailed opossum). RNAcentral's name for it is "lncRNA (ENSMODG00000039148.1)". Lineage: Eukaryota; Metazoa; Chordata; Mammalia; Didelphimorphia; Didelphidae. The record is from RNAcentral.